RNAcentral lists this ribosomal RNA (253 nucleotides) under uncultured bacterium. RNAcentral describes it as "partial 16S ribosomal RNA". It matches the Rfam family "Bacterial small subunit ribosomal RNA", at positions 524 to 776 of the family's 1533-position model. The record is from RNAcentral.
UACAGAGGGGGCAAGCGUUAUUCGGAAUUCUUGGGCGUAAAGGGCGCGUAGGCGGCCUGGCAAGUGGAUGGUGAAAUCCCUCGGCUUAACCGAGGAACUGCCGUCCAAACUGCUUGGCUUGAGACCGGGAGAGGUGAGUGGAAUUCCCAGUGUAGCGGUGAAAUGCGUAGAUAUUGGGAGGAACACCAGUGGCGAAGGCGGCUCACUGGACCGGAACUGACGCUGAUGCGCGAAAGCGUGGGGAGCGAACGGG